GACGAACGCUGGCGGCGUGCUUAACACAUGCAAGUCGAACGGAAAGGCCCUGCUUUUGUGGGGUGCUCGAGUGGCGAACGGGUGAGUAACACGUGAGUAACCUGCCCUUGACUUUGGGAUAACUUCAGGAAACUGGGGCUAAUACCGGAUAGGAGCUCCUGCGGCAUGGUGGGGGUUGGAACGUUUCGGCGGUUGGGGAUGGACUCGCGGCUUAUCAGCGUGUUGGUGGGGUAGUGGCUUACCAAGGCUUUGACGGGUAGCCGGCCUGAGAGGGUGACCGGCCAAAUUGGGAAUGAGAUACGGCCCAGAGUUCUACGGGAGGCAGCAGUGGGGAAUAUUGCACAAUGGGCGGAAGGCUGAUGCAGCAACGCCGCGUGCGGGAUGACGGCCUUCGGGUUGUAAACCGCUUUCGCCUGUGACGAAGCGUGAGUGACGGUAAUGGGUAAAGAAGCACCGGCUAACUACGUG
RNAcentral lists this ribosomal RNA (468 nucleotides) under uncultured bacterium. RNAcentral describes it as "partial 16S ribosomal RNA". It matches the Rfam family "Bacterial small subunit ribosomal RNA", at positions 28 to 507 of the family's 1533-position model. The record is from RNAcentral.